Parus major (Great Tit) is the source of this 81-nucleotide small nucleolar RNA. Ensembl annotates it as small nucleolar RNA, C/D box 101. Its record names the gene SNORD101. Lineage: Eukaryota; Metazoa; Chordata; Aves; Passeriformes; Paridae. The record is from Ensembl.
GUUUGGAUGAUGACUUAAACUUUAAUGUUAGUCGGAUACCCCUUCACUCGUCCUGUGAGUGAGAACUGCUGUCUGACAAAC